This 253-nucleotide ribosomal RNA is filed under the name uncultured bacterium. RNAcentral's name for it is "partial 16S ribosomal RNA". It matches the Rfam family "Bacterial small subunit ribosomal RNA", at positions 524 to 776 of the family's 1533-position model. The record is from RNAcentral.
UACGUAGGGGGCAAGCGUUGUCCGGAUUUACUGGGCGUAAAGGGUGCGUAGGCGGACAUUUAAGUCAGAUGUGAAAUACCCGAGCUUAACUUGGGUGCUGCAUUUGAAACUGGGUGUCUAGAGUGCAGGAGAGGUAAGUGGAAUUCCUAGUGUAGCGGUGAAAUGCGUAGAGAUUAGGAAGAACACCAGUGGCGAAGGCGGCGACCUGGGUAGAUACUGACGCUGAGGCGCGAAAGCGUGGGGAGCAAACAGG